Molecule: long non-coding RNA, 1764 nt
Organism: Oreochromis niloticus (Nile tilapia)
Lineage: Eukaryota; Metazoa; Chordata; Actinopteri; Cichliformes; Cichlidae
Source: Ensembl
CCACAACCCACAACAUUAACGACGUCCAUGCUGGUUUUAAGUCAGAAGCUUCCAGAAGCCUCUAGAAACCCUUCCCGCGACAAUGAAUCACUGCGUUAUUUUUUUGUGGUCACUCAGCUCUGUCAAGAACAAUGUCAGCGUGUGAACUGGCUGAAGUUUCUCUGAAAACAGGGACUUUGCUGCAUUACAUUUCUUUAAAUCUUGUAUUGUGGAGAAACCAUAGAUGCCAUAUUACAACUUCCCAUGACACGCAACGCAGGUGACAAAUAUAGCAUGUGAAUAAGGCAGUGUUCUUCUCUCUAAUUGGCUCAUAAUAAUCUCUUUGACUGAUAAAAGGCGUCUUUGAAACAGAGAGUUACUGUUAGCUUUCAGGUCAAACAACAGUUGAAGCCAGAGCGAAAACGUACAAGGUUUGUGUGUUUUUACACGAUUCAAGGUGCAAAAUGAAGCUUCUUCUCUUCGCAGCAUUUGCAGCAACCCUCAGCUAUGUCAACGCAGGCAAGACUGCAAGGCUGCUGGCAGCUAUGAAUGCAGGGAUGUUGAAUGGGGGACUCUUAAAUGGAGGACUCUUAAAUGGAGCAAACCCCGGGAUGCUGGUUGGUGGUCUGAAUCCACCCAUUGUAGCUGGCGGUGGAGCAGGCGUUAUUGGGCAGCCCCAGUUUGCUCAGUUUGUUCCUCGAGUUCCUGCUUUUGUCGUUCCAGCUCAGGUCGGCAAUGUGUACCCUUUCCCUGCUGUCCCUGCAGUCAAUGCGUACCAGGUUCCUUUCAUGGGAGUACCCCAAAUGGCACCAAUGAAUGCUCCUCAGCAACCUGCAAUGGUAAUCAACCUUUCCCUCCAGUGUAUCAGUGGUUAUUGUUUGCAGAAAUGUUACAUUUGCUGUUUUUGUUUAGGGGAACCCUGCCGGUGCUGCUCCACAGCAGCUUCCAGUUCAGCCUGAUCCACUUGGAAGAUUCAGGGUAGGAAACAAUGAAUCUUUAGUCUCAUAGGCUGUGCAAUAUGAAUGAAAACUACACUGGCUAAAUGUUGCUCUAUGACUCCACAGCGCCAGAUUAUGAAAGCCGAAAACACAGUGAAGAGUACUUUGGAUACUCAGGUGAGACUGCGUAAAAUAAAAAAUAAAAGCAAUUUUAAAAAAAUUACUAACAGUUUGUAAACAUCAUGUUCUGCUAGAAAAAUGAUUUUUUUUGUCUCUUAUUAAUUCCUCAGAUUCCUUCUUCUGCUCCUUCUGCAUCACCAACAGCAGUGCCCUGCAACAAGGAUAAUUAAGCUGACACCAUUACUGUAACAUUAGCUUUGAAUUGAAUCUACAAGAAAUAUUGAAUAUUAUAACAUUAAAAGUUAACUCCUAUGAUUAUUCAUAAAUUGAUGAAUUUUGUUACAGUGUGUUUGCUUUCUAAUAAAAGUAAUCAUACUCUAAAUAAAAUCUGUCUUGUACGAGUUUUACAGCAUACACCAUCAGUCAUACAGUGGAUCUGUGCUGCCAUCUAAAGGACAUAUAUGAUAAUAGUUUCAUAAAACUACAACUCAUGCUAGAUAGUUAAGAGGACAUCCAUAAAAUGUCAUCAAAAAUAAAAUAAAAAAGAUCAAAAUAACAAAAAUGACUACCAACCCACUUGCCACUAAUUCCAUUGAUAAAGAUAAUACAGAUACUGAUGUCAAGGAGAAUUAGUGAACACACAUAUUACAGCAAACAUGAUGCAGUUCUGAAGUUCUUUCAAACAGCUCCUCCUACAGCCUUUCAGCAUAUACAGACAUACAGAGGC